GAUGAACGCUGCGGCGUGCCUAAUACAUGCCAGUCGAGCGAACAGACGAGGAGCUUGCUCCUCUGACGUUAGCGGCGGACGGGUGAGUAACACGUGGAUAACCUACCUAUAAGACUGGGAUAACUUCGGGAAACCGGAGCUAAUACCGGAUAAUAUAUUGAACCGCAUGGUUCAAUAGUGAAAGACGGUUUUGCUGUCACUUAUAGAUGGAUCCGCGCCGCAUUAGCUAGUUGGUAAGGUAACGGCUUACCAAGGCGACGAUGCGUAGCCGACCUGAGAGGGUGAUCGGCCACACUGGAACUGAGACACGGUCCAGACUCCUACGGGAGGCAGCAGUAGGGAAUCUUCCGCAAUGGGCGAAAGCCUGACGGAGCAACGCCGCGUGAGUGAUGAAGGUCUUCGGAUCGUAAAACUCUGUUAUUAGGGAAGAACAAAUGUGUAAGUAACUAUGCACGUCUUGACGGUACCUAAUCAGAAAGCCACGGCUAACUACGUGC
Molecule: ribosomal RNA, 497 nt
Filed under: uncultured bacterium
Lineage: Bacteria
Description: partial 16S ribosomal RNA
Rfam family: Bacterial small subunit ribosomal RNA
Source: RNAcentral